This is a non-coding RNA of Caenorhabditis elegans, 21 nucleotides long. Lineage: Eukaryota; Metazoa; Nematoda; Chromadorea; Rhabditida; Rhabditidae. The record is from Ensembl.
UUCUUCAGUUUUAGUUUAGCU